UUGUGCCACUGCCAUGGAAUCCUGGAAUCAUGGAAUGCUCUGGGCAGGAAGGGACCUUAAAGCUCCUCUCAUCCCACCCCUGCCAUGGCAGGGACACCUCCCACUGUCCCAGGCUGCUCCCAGCCCUGUCCAGCCUGGCCUUGGGCACUGCCAGGGAUCCAGGGGCAGCCACAGCUGCUCUGGGCACCCUGUGCCAGGGCCUCUUCACCUCACAGAGAAGGAUUUUUUCCUAAUAUCCUAUCUAAUCCUGCGCUCUGGCAGUGGGAAGCCAUUCUCCCUUGUCCUGGCACUCCAUCCCUUGCUGAACAGCCCCAGUUCUCCCAGCCUUUCCUCACAGGAAAGGUGUUCCACCCUCCCAUCACCCUCAGGACUCAGGAGAGGUCCUUGGCUCCUCUGUUCCUCCUCCUAAGUCAAAUGAAACCUGUCCUGGUCCAUGCUGGGUGAAACUUGUGGGACAAACACCCAGAGAGAAGAGACCCUGAGAAAUGAGACGAUGAACACAUCAAACCUUCCAGCUCAAAACAACAACAAAAUUGUAAAUACUGACUGAGCACACAUUGAGGGCAGAGGAAAUCCCAGGUAGAGAUGUGUUGGAAAAGGAGGGACAGCCCAGCUGCUCCUCUCCUGCCUGAGGGCCUACAACUGGUGCAGGGCCAUCUUGGGCAGAUUGUUCUGUAGAGGAGUUACAAAGAGGCUCUAAGAGAAUCCUGCACAGCUCAGAGCCCAAAAAACACCAGAGUGAAAGAGAGGGGAA
Long non-coding RNA from Vidua macroura (Pin-tailed whydah), 754 nucleotides. RefSeq lists it as uncharacterized. The transcript is spliced from 3 exons. The record is from RefSeq and is a predicted model, not a curated record. Lineage: Eukaryota; Metazoa; Chordata; Aves; Passeriformes; Viduidae.